GGCCGGUUAGCUCAGUGGUCUGAGCACGGUGCUGACAACAAUGACCAACACUGAGAUCACAGGUUCGACUCCUGCUUCGUCCC
Non-coding RNA from Apaloderma vittatum (bar-tailed trogon), 83 nucleotides. NCBI's taxonomy places the organism in Eukaryota, Metazoa, Chordata, Aves, Trogoniformes, Trogonidae. The record is from Rfam.